UUUUCAAGAUUUAUUAUCAAGUAUAAGUUAAUAUACUUACAUAAAUCAACAUGUAGAAAUGUAUUAAAAAUUAGUAUGUGAGGAAAAAAGCAUCAACUUACAAAUACGCAGGAUUGGAUUUGUUGUCCCAAAAACUGAGGCUGGAGGGCUCGUUGUGGCGCAUGGGAACUUCCUGGAAAAUGACUUAACAUUUAUUCAAAGAAUGAAUUCAUUUAAAACGUUAAAACAUACUUCAAAAAAAGAGAAUUAGUUUGUAAUUGAUUUGUUGAGGCUGUGUGUGAAACUACUUUUCCUUCAGUUUCCUGUUGCCUUGGUGUGACUUGUAGAAACCUUGUUGAUCUUGGUAGAACAGAAUUUCACAACAGUGCAUUUUGCAAAUUCCAUUUUUGGUUAUCAACUAUGUGAUGGUAAGAGGGUAGGUAUAAGAAUUUUUUGUUUCAUUUUACUUUAACUGUUUAUAUACCUUUCAUUUAAUGCUACCUGGUUUGGUGGCAGGAAAUGGCCAAAGAAUAAUAAUAGUGUCUCAUAUUUACCACACAGCUUUUAUGGGCCUGGGUCUCAGUUCUUUUCAUGUAUUAAUGUUUUAAAUCUCUAGAGCAACCACUGAUGUAAUGCUAUCAACCCUGUCUUAACCAAGAGAAACAAUGAGGCAGAGAGGUUAGAUGACUUGCCCAAGGUCACACAAUCAGCAGCGGCAGUGAGGAUUCCUGCCUAGGCCUUGGGCUGCAGAGUCCAUGCUCUCACUACUGCCCAGUAAGGCCCACAGAGGUGAACACCUCUGUCUACAUAAAAACUAUCCUGAGCAGCAGUUUGCAGAAAACCUUGUAAUUUUGAGUGUUUUUCUACUUCUUUGAAACAAAUGACUCCUAAAGGAAUAGAAAGCUUAAAUUGAAUCUCAUCCAUCUGUAUUGUUGAGAAACUAUUAACAACCUCAGAAACUUCCCUUAUGGCUGGAAGACGCACAAUCCUACUGCUUUUUCAUCAAAAUGAACACAGACGUGCUCAACAUAAAUACUUAAGCUAUUACCAGUGGGAUCUGUUACUCUUGGCAAAGAAAUCAUGAGUGAGAUAAUUACUAACAAGAGUGCAUAAAUACCAUUUUAAAAACAUGAAAUAUAAAAACAAAACAAAGAGAUUUAAAUUCUAGGCCUGAGAAUUUAUUUCUCUUUGUAUUUUAGAAACCCUCCCUAGAAUUAAAGCAGUCAUUAUGAGAAUGGCUACUCUCAAACCAAAUGAAGUUUGAGAAAGGACCCAGGUCCACUUGCUUGUUCAAACCACAAGUUACUUCCUCUAAAUUAUGCAUUUGAUGAAUUUAUAAAUUUUUUCCUUAGAAGGAUUCAUGUAUGCACUCACAGGUAAUGUCCUGCAUAGAAUUUCAGGGAGCCCAAAGACUUGGAUCAAGUACUUCAGAGGCUGAACUGUGCAAUCAUGGAGUGAGGAACCUCUGUUACCUGGUAUGGCUGCUCAGUUUCUUUGGCCUCUCUAAAUCCUGAUAGUCUUUCCACUACAGCCACUUUACUUCCUAAUGUGGAAUCCAAGUGUAUAAUAAAUUCUCAUAGAAGGAAAAGUGCAAUCAAUAUGGGUCUUUAAAAUAGUAGUACUGGAGUUCCCGUUGUGGCGCAGCAGAAAUGAAUCCAACCAGGAGCCAUGAGGCUGCCGGUUCAAUUCCUGGCCUUGCUCAGUGGGUUAAGGAUCCAGCAUUGCCGUGAGCUGGCGGCUAUGGCUUUGAUUAGACCCCUAGCCUGGGACCCUCCAUAUGCUGCAGGUGCGGCCCUAAAAAAGACAAAAAAGAAAAAAAAAAAUAGUAGUACUGCACCCACCCAGGGAACUAUUUUCUACAUCAAACUCCGAUCUUAAAAGGAUCUGCAGGUGGUAACUUCAAACAUUUUAAAGUAAAAAAUACUUCUCAUUUUAAGUGGCAUCUAGGAUCAAAGGAUGGAACUAUUAAAGAAAAAUCUGAGGGGGGGGGGAAGCAAUCUGACAGGCACCUGAGUUCUAAAGUCUCCAGGCUUAAGUAGUGGUAUGUUUAAAUUUACGAAAGUGUGAAGGAUUUAACUUAAUUAGAUCACCUACUGGAACAGAAAUGAGUUAAGUCUUAGACCAUCGGAGGGAGAAAGAUAACCAAAAUGCUAAAUGAAAUGUAAAAACUAUGUAAAAAAAAUUGGGCUGGCAGGAAAGAGAUUAGCAGACUGAUUCCUAUAACAAAGUGAAACAGGAACUUGGAACUUGGGGAGGCAGGUGGGCACCAAGAUGGCUUUGCCUUAAAGGCUUCUACAAAACCCUGGAUACUUUCCACUUCAGUUUUAAUGAUUCUCUGGGGGUUCUGGGGAAGGGGAUAAAGCCCAGAACCUAUUCAAGGCAAGGAAUCUACUAGAAAGCUGCCAUUUUUAAAAGGCCAACAAUUGCAUGACAUCACUGAAUUACAUAGGCAUUACCCAUGAUUCAACCUAAUUAGAGUAGACCCCUGAUACAGCUGGGUGUAUGUCAUAAAAACAGAAGAAAUAACCCUGCCAAGCUGAAGGAAAUGGCAAAGAAGAUUGCUUAUCUUGGUCCUGGCACUGUGUAGAAGGGGUUUUAAAAAGCUCUUUCUUAUGAAUUCAGAACUAGGACCUGCAGCUUUGAGGCCUAAUUUCAUGACACCUGUAUGAUUUGAAAAAUAUGAAGUGAGGAAUUUAGAGUCUCUGUCAUUACUGCCCUACUCUACCCAGAGGGGCAAACUCUAAUCUUCUCUGGGGGAGUUCAGCUUCUAUCCAGGCUGCAGAAUCUCCCCACAGAUAAAGAUAAAUGGGCAAGUAAAAAUGGGCAACUCCAAGUCAAGGAUCACAGAACACAUGGAAACAAGAACUGGUAGGAACAACAAAGAAACUCUUAAAAGUUUCAGAUAUUGGAAUCAUCAGAUGAACCCUAAAAUAACCAUGUUUAUUGUAUUUAGGGAAAUAAACAUAAAAUUAAAAAGAUCAGAAGAAAGUAAAUGACAUCAAAGAAGAACCAAGCAGAUUCUGAAAUCAAAACCCGAACUUGAAAUAAAAAUACAACAAUUAAAAUUAAAACUUCAGUGGAUGGAUUAGAUAGAUUAGGCAUGACUGAGAAGAAAAUCAGUAAAUGCAGAAGACAGAGCUGAAGCUAUUUUUGAGAAUGCAGAUCAUAGGGAGAGAGAUGGAAAAAAAUGAGAGGAUAAAGGGAAAUGGAAAAAUGAGGCCUAAUGUACAUCUUGCUAUAAAUCCCAAAGAAGAAUGGGAAGAGCAAAGAUACUAACUUCUAACACUAAUAAUUUAAAUUUGCCAAUAACCAUUAGAAAAACAACAACACUAAGUUAUAAAGAAUCAAAAACAAACAAAAAACAAAAACAAAAAAGGAGUUCCCAUUGUGGAGCACCAGAAAUGAAUCUGACAGGGAACCAUAAGGUUGCGGGUUUGAUCCCUAGCCUCGAUCAGUGGGUUGAGGAUCUGGUGUUGCCAUGAACUGUGGUAUAGGUGCAGACAAGGCUCGGAUCUGGCGUUGCUGUGGCUGUGGUGUGGUGUAGGCCAGCAGCUGUAGCUCUGAUUAGAUCCCUAGCCUGGGAACC
RNAcentral lists this long non-coding RNA (3565 nucleotides) under Sus scrofa (pig). Its description in RNAcentral is "lncRNA (ENSSSCG00040006219.1)". Lineage: Eukaryota; Metazoa; Chordata; Mammalia; Artiodactyla; Suidae. The record is from RNAcentral.